UUGUGAGUUCAAAAUGGUAUGACUUCUAAAUUUACGCAUUGUUUUUUGUAUAUCCAGAUAUCUUAAGGAGUACAGAUUCGAUAUUUCAAAGUUGGAGCCCUUAGUGGCUAAGCCUCAUUCUCCUGAUAAUCGUGCUUUGGCAAGAGAAUGCAAAGAUGUCAAAAUCGACAGAGUAUAUAUUGGAUCUUGUACUGGUGGAAAAACGGAGGACUUUAUGGCUGCUGCAAAAGUUUUUCUAGCUUCGGGUAAGAAGGUAAAGGUUCCAACUUUCCUUGUUCCUGCUACGCAAAAGGUAUGGAUGGAUGUAUAUAGCCUCCCAGUUCCAGGAU
This is a non-coding RNA of Nicotiana tabacum (common tobacco), 329 nucleotides long. Lineage: Eukaryota; Viridiplantae; Streptophyta; Magnoliopsida; Solanales; Solanaceae. The record is from RefSeq and is a predicted model, not a curated record.